Molecule: ribosomal RNA, 459 nt
Filed under: uncultured bacterium
Lineage: Bacteria
Description: partial 16S ribosomal RNA
Rfam family: Bacterial small subunit ribosomal RNA
Source: RNAcentral
CCUACGGGUGGCAGCAGUGAGGAAUAUUGGUCAAUGGACGGAAGGCUGAACCAGCCAAGCCGCGUGAAGGACGAAGGUGACCAGCAUUGUAAACGUCUUUUGUCAAGGGACAAAAUCAGGCUCGAGAGCCUGACCGAGGGGACUUGAAGAAAAAGCAUAGGCUAACGCCGUGCCAGCAGCCGCGGUAAGACGGAGGAUGCGAGCGUUAUCCGGAUUUAUUGGGUUUAAAGGGUUCGUAGGCGGACUGUUAAGUCAGCGGUAAAAGCCCGGGGCUCAACCCCGGCGAGCCGUUGAAACUGGCUGUCGUGAGAUGUCGAGAGGUAUGCGGAAUGCGCAGUGUAGCGGUGAAAUGCUUAGAUAUUGCGCAGAACUCCGAUGGCGAAGGCAGCAUACCGGCGGCGAUCUGACGCUGAGGCACGAAAGCGUGGGUAUCGAACAGGAUUAGAUACCCCUGUAGUC